Long non-coding RNA from Bubalus bubalis (water buffalo), 942 nucleotides. RefSeq lists it as uncharacterized. The transcript is spliced from 5 exons. The record is from RefSeq and is a predicted model, not a curated record. Lineage: Eukaryota; Metazoa; Chordata; Mammalia; Artiodactyla; Bovidae.
CCUAUGGACUGCAGCCCACCAGGCUCCUCUGUCCAGGGGAUUCUCCAGACAAGAAUACUGCAGUGGGUAGCCUUUCCCUCCUCCAAGGGAUCUUCCCAACUCAAGAUUGAACUCAGGUCUUCCACAUGGCACUCCAUUUCCUCUGUGUCCCUACAAAGAAGAGGUCAUGUGAGCACCUAGCAAGAUGGCAGCUGUCUGGAAUCGAGGGGAGAGCUGUUACCAGACAUCAAUCCUACAGGCACCUUGGACUUCCAGCCUUCAGACUAUAUGCAAUUCAAAGUCAGUGUUUGCCAACUUGUGGUGUGUGGGUCACCUGCAGCAGAAUCACCUGGGAUUUUUCUGGCCUCACUCCAGUGGGAAAGUAGAACCUCGAGGGUCUAGAAACGGGCCCAGAGGCUUCAGAUGCAGCUUUGAGCUUCAGGAGGAGGGUAGUGGCCACACAUGCUGAAGGUGAGGAGAGCACCCGGUGAUGCCUCUUCCUGGCUUGAAGCUGACGUGAAAAAGCACAAAAGCACCGCACACACACCAUAGAGGAAGCGGACAGCCUCAGGUAGAUCACCCUCUGGGAUUUCCACACUGAAUCUGGCUUCACCUGAGGAAGACUACUGGGGAAAGGUCCUGUGUUUGGAAAUUAACAUCUCAAGGAAGAUUUAAUCCCUCACUGGGGAAAAUCAAGGUCUCCAUGAUCUAUGAGAGCCUGCUGGAGCACUUCCAGGGACACCAAGUUUGAGGCCAUCAUGAAUCCAUUCACAUUCUGACUGAAUCCAUAAUGGACUCUGGCGUGAGCUGGCUCUGUUUAGAGUCUGUAUAACCCUUAGGUCUUGAUACCGUGUGCCUUUCCUGCCAUGUUCAUGGACUCUUUUGUAUCAAAAAAGUAUUUUAUGCAUUAUAAAUGUAAUAUUUUAUGUAUUAUAUUAUUUAAGUAUUUUAUGUAUUAGAAAA